This is a long non-coding RNA of Gopherus flavomarginatus (Mexican gopher tortoise), 2364 nucleotides long. RefSeq lists it as uncharacterized. Lineage: Eukaryota; Metazoa; Chordata; Testudines; Testudinidae. The transcript has 3 exons. The record is from RefSeq and is a predicted model, not a curated record.
GCGCAAUGCACUCCAGAGGGGCGGGUUUGCACGCGGCGCGGGGUACCCCCAGCACUCGGGAGGGGCGAGUUUGCACGCGGCGCGGGGUACCCCCAGCACUGCGCAAUGCAGUCGGGAGGGGCGGGUUUGCACGCGGCGCGGGGUAUGUACAGGGUACCCCCAGCACUGCGCAUGCACUCGAGAGGGGCGGGUUUGCACGCGGCGCGGGGUACCCCCAGCACUCGGGAGGGGCGGGUUUGCACGCGGCGCGGGGUAUGUACGGGGUACCCCCAGCACUGCGCAAUGCACUCUGGAGGGGCGGGUUUGCGCGCGGCGCGGGGUCCGUGCGGGGCACCCCCAGCACUGCGCAAGGCACUCGGGAGGGCUUUGCACGCGGCGCGGGGUCUGUGCAGGGUCACCUUUGCACGCGGUCUGUGCGGAGCACCCCCAGCAUUGCGCAAUGCACUCGGGAGGGCCAGGUUUGCACGUGGUACUGCACGGGGUCUGCGGGGCACCCCCAGCACUGCGCAAUGCACUGGGGAGGUCUUUGCACGCGGCGCGGGCUCUGUGCGGGGCAGUGAUUUCCCUACACCCACUCUCAAUUUCCCCAACACCCCCCCAGUUUUGUGAGCUAGUUACAUACCAAUUCAGUGACUGUUUGGAAAUCUGAAUUUAAACUGAAACAUUAAUACACACUUGAAAAGCUUAUACAGUGUAUGAUAAAAUAUGUGUAUCUGAAAAAGUAUAAUAGAUUUGAAAAGUAUGAACAUAGACUAGCUUCCUUGCUUCCUUAUACAGCUGUUUUUUAUGAUGCCAGUGCAUUCAUUUCGGUGAUGUUGGCCAACCUAAUAAUUUCAAAUGAUGGUUUGUAAGCAAAGUCUAAAUGAGCUCUCCCUGACAGCUAGUGAUGAGCUGGGGCUGGGGGGAAAGGCUUCAGGGCCAGAUUAUAUUUACAUUCACACCUAAUCUACCUAGGUAUCCAGCAAACAGAGCUGUGUUGUCCAAGUGAUAGAUUUUGGCUGGGGUUGGGUUACAAACCACUUGAAUGUGGGGGGAAUGGGGGAUGAAAUGUUGUUCUUAUUGUAUGAGUAAAGGGCAGUAGAACUGUAGCCUGUGAUGAUUUGAAGACAUCAAGAGAGAGGGUGGGGACCUGUCCCUUUCCACUGUUCAAAGGCAGAGCUGAAUAGGCUCCAUAGAUAGUCUUUUGUUCUGUUAAGUGACCACUGCAGCUGAAAUCACUGACAAUCAGGUCUAAGUGCUUAGUCCUGUUGUGGGGACAGUGCUCCUGUGGGGACAGUGUUUUUGUGUAAGAGACAACCCAGACUGCACUAGCAGCGAGCGAGGUUCCCGCACUGAGAGCUCAGCUGAAAUCACUGAGAGCUGGUGAACCUCAAGAGACCAACUCGCAGAGGUCACAGAGGCAGGUGGCAGCAGAAGGUGACUGUGCAGGGCCAUUGGCAACAGAGUGAUGGAGUGAAUGGUGGCACAACGAACAGACGUGGCCAGAGCGAACAGUGAGCAGCUGGGGGAACAAGCAAAGUGCCUUCUUGUCCCCCACCUGGAAGAUGUACUCAUGUGAAAGCACCUCUGAACUCUGAGUCUCCACUGACCAAGGACAACACUGGAUGCCCAACAUUGUUUGCUUUGGUGACUGCAGCUGCACAUUGAGUGGAUGUUUUCAGAGAACUAUCCACAAUGACUCCAAGAUCUCUUUCAUGGGUGUUAACAGCUAAUUCAGAUGCCAUCAUUUUGUAUGUAUAGUUGAGAUUGCUUUCCCAUGUGCAUUGCUUUGCAUUUAUCAACAAUGAAUUUAAUUUGCCAUUUUGUUGCCCAGUCACCCAGUUUUGUGAGAUCCCUUUGUAGCUCUUCACAGUCUGCCUGGGACAUAACUAUCUUGAAUAGUUUUGUAUCAUCUGCAAAUUUUGCCACAUCACUGUUUACCCAUUUUUCCAGAUGAAUACGUUGAACAGUACUGGUCCCAGUACUGACCCCUCAAGGAUACCACUAUUUAUCUCUCUCCAUUCUGAAAAUUGAUAAUUUAUUCCUACCCUUUGUUUCCCAUCUUUUAACCAGUUACUGAUCUAUGAGAAGACUGCCCUCUCAUCCCAUGAUGGCUUACUUUUCAAAAAUCAAUGUAAAUUAAAUUUUUAAAAAAAAUUUUUUUUAGAAAUCUAGAUCUGUUAUGUGUUUUGGUGUAACUUGUAUUUUCCUUAUGUUAAAUUUGCAUAAUCCUAACAAAACAUUUACUUUAUUCAUAUCUCUCUUAUAUAUAUCUCAUUGGACCUGACACCCCCUGUAAAUUCGAACACCCCCCCUAAUUUCAAUUCCUGGGGAAACCACUGGUGCGGGGCACCCUCAGCACUGCGCAAUGCACUCAGGAGAGGC